GGAGCAGGUCAGGGCUUCCCCAAGGGACCAGUCCUGGCCCUGGCCCUGUGCUGGCCACAGAGAAGGAGCCGCUGGGUUCUGGCAGAGGAGACCCUGGCUGGAGGGACCCUCCCACCCUGCUGCUCUCCCUUGGGGUGAGGGCUCCUGGGGGCGCAGGCCACGUCCCCUCUCUGGGCCCUGUGCUGGUGGGGGCUCCGUCAGAGGACAGCUGGAAGCCCUCCCUGGGGGUGGAGAAGCCUGGUUCAGGCCGGGCGGUGGGCAGAGGGCCUGGCCUGGCUCUGGCCUCAGGCCCACACUGGCUCAGCCAGCGGUGCCCUGUCUGCUGGGCGCCGGGGCCCGCUCUGCCCUCACUGGGGACACAGCAGAUCCACAGCCACAGGCCUGCUGGAACCCAGAUCCCAGUGCUUCCGCCCGGCAGGACCCCGGCCCACCACGCCCAGCAGUGACCCUCCCGAGCCAGGCUGGCCAGGGCCUCCCCACGAGGUUUGCCCCAAUUCUCUAGCCACUGUUGAGGGGCUGCCCUGUGGCCACCGUCCCCCUGAGGCUCUGCAGCACCUGUUGAGUGAGCGAGUAAAUGGACGGGCAGAGCCACGAAUGGGGACCCGCUGCUGUUCCCAGAGCCAGGCUGUGGGGGCCAGAGGGGCCCACAGGGUGCUCUGGGGCUGCUCCCUGGGCCACUUCUUGGUCCAGCCACCUGCUUCUCUACUAUGGGCAGCGGGGUCCCUUGGAAGCAGAGGACCUACCUGUCUGAACGUCCGAGGCCGCUAGACAGCCCAGUGCCAGUUGUCCCCACUGUGGCCUUGGGAUGCUGGGAGGGAACAGACGGGAGGAGGCAGGUGGGGCCGGAGGCUGGGGGGUGAGAGGCCGGCAGAGGCUGCUUGUCCAGGGCUGUGCCACCUGGCAGGGUCAUGACCUUGGGGCCGUGGUGCUUGGGGAGGCCGGCUUGGUGGACAUCUGUCUGCUGUCUCCCCCAUUUUCAUGUGAAAGGCGGGGACGUGCCUUGGGCUGGGGCCACCAUCUGCCCUGGGAGCCCCAUUGUGCAGGGGCAGAGGGGCCAGCUGUGGGCAGAGGUCGUGAGGAAGGACACGGCCAACAGAAGGAAGCUUUCAGGGCUGGUGGCGCAGAGGGUGGGCUUCGCGGGCGGGGCUGGGGGGGCACCAGCUCAGCUCAGGGCCCCUCCUCUCCCGGCCCCCUGUGGAACACCAGGACAGGAGCUUUUCCCUGUUGGUCACGUCUGCUCCUCGACGUUUCGGAAGAUGGCUGGCCACGUUCCUGUCAAGCUGGCUGAGACUCUGUCCCUUCUGGGGCCUGUGUAAGUCACAGAAACCUUAGGGACACUGAGUUAAGUCUCAGGGAGUGGCCGGCGUCCCCAGUGGGUGUGGCUUUGAGCACAGCACAGGCCGGUGGAAGCAGAGAGGGCGGCAAGGCCAGCGCUGGCCUCGGGCCUUUCUGUCUGGCUCCCAUGGGGCCUUUUAAGUGGGUUUUGCCAGUUUUAAAAACCAGGAGAUUCAUAUAAAAAUGCUGCCCUCUUCCAAAAGCCAAGGCUCCGGGCCCCUUUGCCUCACAGUUGGCCAAGCUGAGCCGCGGGACGUGCCCUCCAGGGUGCCACAGCCCCCCCAUCCCGUGCACCCCGGGGGCUGGCCUGGCCCUGCCCACACUCUCACACAACCCAGCCAGGGCUGCUGGGAUGGCAGGGAGCAGCUGUCCAGUGCAGACAGGAGCUGUGGGGUGACCCCGUGUCCCCAAGUGCACAGAGGGAGCAGAGGACAGCUGGCCCAGGACCAAGGAGCGUCUCCAUGACGACCACAUGACUGAUCAGCCAGUCCAGGCUGAAGGACAGAUGCCGACCAACUGCUAGCUUGGAGGGAGGGGCCCCGAGGACCCUGGUGGUCCCUGCUGUCACCUGGUGCCUGGUAAGCUUCAGAAGAGGGGAGGGGUCAGCCCCAAAGUGUCUGAGGUCAAAUUUCCAGCGUCCCUGCCGAACAGGACAGAAUAGGGACAAGAGGAGCUGACGAGGGGACGUCUAGGGCUCCUCACCUUGAGCCACACUCGGGUCUGCUACUUUCCGCUUUGGGGACAAUCACAGGGGUACAGCAGGCUCAGGACAGCCCCCAAGGCCACUGCUGGGGGCAAUACAAACCCGGCUUCUGGACCUGACCCAGGCCUGGCCAUCUGGCUCUGAUGCCAAGAUGGGGUUGGGCUGGAGACAGCUCAGGUGGCCUUCUCCCACACUGCUGUGGAGGACUGAGGAGGGGCCCGGGUCCUCUCUAAAUAGGACCUGUCCCCACGGCUGCUGUCCCCACCUCCCCACGAAAUCCCUAUGGGGAGAGGAGGGGACGCUCCAGGCUCUGCCCCCUCAGGGACGUGGAUAACUGGGGCAUAGCUGGGUGGCACCAGGAGUCCCUGGACACAGGAACAUCGCUGUCCACUGAGGAGGGCUCAGCUGCCGGGAUGGACACUAGCUGCAGCUGCUCAGGGUCGCUGCCACUGUCACAGGGGCUGGAGGAGGAGGCGUUCAAGGCUUUGCCAACAGCCCAGGGUCUGAAUCCCGCCUCGGCAGGCCCUCAGUGAGGUCACCAUGAUGUCAACCUCCCCUGCGCUGCUGGGAAAUGACACUGACGAGAUGAUGUGGCCUGGCCACACACAGCACUUUGUGAAGGUCAGCGACGCCCUACCCUCAAAGAAAUCGGGAACAGAGGCUCUAGUAAGAAGAUGCUACUAUCCGGUCAAGAGUGUCCGCAUCAGACUUCUGAGCUGACCACAGCAGGUCAGGCCUCGGGUCCUCACAUGUGAGUGCAGGACAGGGGACAGGAUAGUGACCAGUACAGUCUGGCAGGGGGCCGAGCCCAGGCAGCUCCGGCCCCGCCACACCUUGUCAGAGGUGCCCAACUGUUAUAAUGACCAGAACUGUCUCCACAAUUCCCAGGACACCCCGGGUCAGGACACCGCAUGAGAAUUCCCACACCGACCCCUCUACGAUCUCCCUGUCCCCUCCUGCAUUUCCAUCUGCUCCCGCUGUCCCCUUCCCAUUGUAGGCAGGAGGGGAGGCUCACUCAAAUGUCCUGGGCCCUUGCCAGUUGCUGGCCCAGCUGCCCUCCUCAGAGGCAUGAGCCCUGGUCCAUGGACCCACCUCCCCCAGGACUGUUUUCUAUGGUCAGUCCAUAACCAUGAAGUUCAUACCUUAAAACAUCACACUUGCAGGCUUCUCCUGAACAGGAAGACCUGGGACGUGGAGGUCGUGUUUGGGCGUGGCCAAGAUCCCUGGAGCCAAGUCCUGCUGCCCCUCCAAACAGGGCCCACGACACCCACUUUGCCACAGUCCCCACUCCUCUCUAUUGUCCCACACCUGAGAGGAGACAAGAGGGCGAGUGUGCACACAGAGGUGCGCCAGUGUGGACAGGUGGGUGUGGCAUGAGUGUGUGCGUGUGUCCCCCCCCCCCUUAUUCACUGAUUCUUCUGGUCAGUGGGUGCUCACUACGUCCCUGGGUUAGACCCCAGCUCCAGCAGGUACAAUGGCAGACGAGACAGGGCCAGCCUCUCUACACCACCAGCCAAGGAGGACACCCGCAUGGUGACGUCGGCAUGAGAAGAAAAUAACAAUGCGAUGUCCAAGAGGUCAGUGGUCAGGUGAUCUGGAGGACAUACCUUGCCCAGACACCUACAAUAGCUCAGUCCCCUUCUUGGGGCUCUGAGUGACAACCACCAGCCUGGCCUCUCCCCCAGGCCUGCCCUCUCCCCUUCAGCUCGGGGGCUCCUCGCUACACCACGGGGAAGGUGGGAGCAGCUGGGGAGGCCAGGCAGAGGCCAGGCAGAGGCAGGC
RNAcentral lists this long non-coding RNA (3820 nucleotides) under Marmota monax (woodchuck). The record is from RNAcentral. Lineage: Eukaryota; Metazoa; Chordata; Mammalia; Rodentia; Sciuridae.